Long non-coding RNA from Haliotis rubra (blacklip abalone), 100 nucleotides. RefSeq lists it as uncharacterized. The transcript is spliced from 3 exons. Lineage: Eukaryota; Metazoa; Mollusca; Gastropoda; Lepetellida; Haliotidae. The record is from RefSeq and is a predicted model, not a curated record.
UUAUAUAUAUACUUAUGACAAUAAUGGUUGUCACCCCCUUCAAUUUUACUAAUAGGCUGGGGGGUGACAACCGUUAUUGGCAUGAGCAUGUAUCAAUUGG